This 90-nucleotide non-coding RNA is filed under the name Paenibacillus sp. BC26. RNAcentral's name for it is "GEMM cis-regulatory element". It matches the Rfam family "c-di-GMP-I riboswitch aptamer". Rfam says of the family: GEMM was predicted in a large-scale screen for bacterial structured RNA regulatory elements. Genes associated with GEMM are involved in a diverse array of functions, including chemotaxis regulation, signal transduction, secretion and chitin. The record is from RNAcentral. Lineage: Bacteria; Bacillati; Bacillota; Bacilli; Caryophanales; Paenibacillaceae.
AUAUGAUAAAGGCAAACCAAUGGAAAUGUUGGGACGCAAAGCCUAGGCCUAAAGCAUCGAUACCGAUGCCAUGGUGGACAGGUUACCGGG